This 468-nucleotide ribosomal RNA is filed under the name uncultured bacterium. RNAcentral describes it as "partial 16S ribosomal RNA". It matches the Rfam family "Bacterial small subunit ribosomal RNA", at positions 28 to 507 of the family's 1533-position model. The record is from RNAcentral.
GACGAACGCUGGCGGCGUGCUUAACACAUGCAAGUCGAACGGAAAGGCCCUGCUUUUGUGGGGUGCUCGAGUGGCGAACGGGUGAGUAACACGUGAGUAGCCUGCCCUUGACUUUGGGAUAACUUCAGGAAACUGGGGCUAAUACCGGAUAGGAGCUCCUGCUGCACGGUGGGGGUUGGAAAGUUUCGGCGGUUGGGGAUGGACUCGCGGCUUAUCAGCUUGUUGGUGGGGUAGUGGCUUACCAAGGCUUUGACGGGUAGCCGGCCUGAGAGGGUGACCGGCCACAUUGGGACUGAGAUACGGCCCAGACUCCUACGGGAGGCAGCAGUGGGGAAUAUUGCACAAUGGGCGGAAGCCUGAUGCAGCAACGCCGCGUGCGGGAUGACGGCCUUCGGGUUGUAAACCGCUUUCGCCUGUGACGAAGCGUGAGUGACGGUAAUGGGUAAAGAAGCACCGGCUAACUACGUG